RNAcentral lists this ribosomal RNA (367 nucleotides) under uncultured Alphaproteobacteria bacterium. Its description in RNAcentral is "bacterial SSU rRNA". It matches the Rfam family "Bacterial small subunit ribosomal RNA", at positions 342 to 726 of the family's 1533-position model. The record is from RNAcentral. Lineage: Bacteria; Pseudomonadati; Pseudomonadota; Alphaproteobacteria.
GAUCUGGCAGCAGUGGGGAAUCUUAGACAAUGGGGGCAACCCUGAUCUAGCCAUGCCGCGUGAGUGACGAAGGCCUUAGGGUCGUAAAGCUCUUUCGCUGGGGAAGAUAAUGACGGUACCCAGUAAAGAAACCCCGGCUAACUCCGUGCCAGCAGCCGCGGUAAUACGGAGGGGGUUAGCGUUGUUCGGAAUUACUGGGCGUAAAGCGCGCGUAGGCGGAUUGGAAAGUUGGGGGUGAAAUCCCGGGGCUCAACCCCGGAACUGCCUCCAAAACUAUCAGUCUAGAGUUCGAGAGAGGUGAGUGGAAUUCCGAGUGUAGAGGUGAAAUUCGUAGAUAUUCGGAGGAACACCAGUGGCGAAAGCGACA